RNAcentral lists this transfer RNA (71 nucleotides) under Pelusios castaneus (West African mud turtle). RNAcentral's name for it is "tRNA-Ile". Lineage: Eukaryota; Metazoa; Chordata; Testudines; Pelomedusidae. The record is from RNAcentral.
GGAUACGUGCCUGAAACAUUAAGGCUCACCUUGAUGAGGUGAAAAUAGAGACUAAAACCCUCUCGUCUCCU